UACAGAGGUGGCAAGCGUUGUUCGGAAUUACUGGGCGUAAAGGGCGCGUAGGCGGCCUUCUAAGUCAGAUGUGAAAUCCCCCGGCUUAACCUGGGAACUGCGUCUGAUACUGGGAGGCUUGAGUAUGGGAGAGGGAUGUAGAAUUCCAGGUGUAGCGGUGAAAUGCGUAGAUAUCUGGAGGAAUACCGGUGGCGAAGGCGGCAUCCUGGACCAUAACUGACGCUGAGGCGCGAAAGCUAGGGGAGCAAACGGG
This 253-nucleotide ribosomal RNA is filed under the name uncultured bacterium. Its description in RNAcentral is "partial 16S ribosomal RNA". It matches the Rfam family "Bacterial small subunit ribosomal RNA", at positions 524 to 776 of the family's 1533-position model. The record is from RNAcentral.